CCGUGUAUUCGUUUCGGUACGCUCUUCAUUUGUCGCCGAAAAAAAUAGUUGCUGAUGAUACAAGUGAAGACGGAUCAAUCACCUUACCCGUACACCUCGCCAUUCGUUGAAAUUACUCUAAGCAGGGACUUAAGGAUGUUUUAGCUGAGUGGCGAUCAUGGGAGCUGUAACAUUUUCUCUGUUGCAGCCGAAGUAGCAAGGCUCUUUGCUCCAUACUACAACAACAACAACAACAACAACAACAACAACAACAACAACAACAACAGCGGCGGCGCCAAGUCAUCCGAAGAAGCUGCACACACACUUUCUGUUGUUUGGCUGACAACAAGGCUGAUAAAGUUCCAAGCAUUCAGCUUAAAUCAGACCUUCUUGCUUCAGGACUUGGAGAACAAAGGGUGAUCUUUUCAGGAAAUGACAACGAUCCCAUGGAUGUAACAAAUAAACUGACGGAGGUGUUUCCAAAGCUGCAGGAAGGGGGAGGCUUUGACUUUCUAAAAAAAUUGCAGGAUCUACUCGCAGUCGAAAUCUUGGACUUCUUCAAUGUCCCAGCACAGGAUACACCCUUGCCUAUCUAAAAGAUCCAUCUACAACAAUUGGACAGGCUACAAUUUACAUACGCCCACUUCAACAGGACCUACCCAUUGAUUCAGUAUGGAAAUUUACACUGUCACCAUUUGAUACAUAGUUAAAAUAAAUUGCACUGUGGAGUUUUAAUCAAUACUUAACAGAUUUGUUGUUCUUAGGAAAGCUCGGGACAUGCCUCUGAUCCAGCCAUCUCAUGUGUCACUUGUCAGAAGGAGGUUCCCUUCUCUGAAAUGAAACUGCACCGAGCUAACUGUGAUGGCUUUGCACUUGUUAAAGAUAUAUAAGAAUUACAUAUUCAUUUUUCAAUAAGAAAUGUAUUUUUAGUUUUUGUGCACACAGAUGAGAGGAAAUGACUAUAAAAUUUUGUGAACUUCAAGGACCCCCAUGCAGGAAACACAUAGAGAAGGAGAGGGAGACCGUGGUGAGGAAAAUGAUAGAGAGCCACCCACUGACAGGGACAGCGUUCCAGUGAGGCCUGAAACAUCUGUAGAGAGUGAAGUAGAACCAGUAGUGAUUGAAAACUGGAAGAUUAUUAAAGAACCAACUCUGGCUGCCCAAGUUUUCAAAGAUAAUCUACUAAGUGAACAUGCAACCGGGAAGCCUCUUAAACUGAAAAUGGAUGUAAGGGAGAGUGAGGAGGACAGGGAACGGGCACUUCUCUCAUUCUAUAAACAGCAACAGGAAUGGGCAUGUCCACUUCAUUGUACCCUUAGUAGAAUAGAGUUCACAAUAUAAAUAUAUAUGUUACAUUAAUAUCAAUUGUAUGUCUUAUAUGGAAUGGUAUUAGUGGUUUACUGGUCCCAUCAGGUAAUUUGGCUGAUAUUAAUCAUUAUAUGAUAAUCUGCAUUGACUGUUCAUGCUGUCUGCAUAACAGUUAAUGUGUUUGUCCUUCCUUCCUAAAACUUGUCAAGCACCUAUAGCCUUCUUACAGCUUGUUUCCAGUGUGUUAUUAACA
Molecule: long non-coding RNA, 1540 nt
Organism: Labrus mixtus (cuckoo wrasse)
Lineage: Eukaryota; Metazoa; Chordata; Actinopteri; Labriformes; Labridae
Exons: 3
Source: RefSeq, a predicted model, not a curated record